AUUGAACGCUGGCGGCAUGCUUUACACAUGCAAGUCGAACGGCAGCACGGGCUUCGGCCUGGUGGCGAGUGGCGAACGGGUGAGUAAUACAUCGGAACGUACCCAGUAGUGGGGGAUAGCCCGGCGAAAGCCGGAUUAAUACCGCAUAUGCCCUGAGGGGGAAAGCGGGGGACCGAAAGGCCUCGCGCUAUUGGAGCGGCCGAUGGCUGAUUAGCUAGUUGGUGGGGUAAAGGUCUACCAAGGCGACGAUCAGUAGCUGGUCUGAGAGGACGACCAGCCACACGGGGGCUGAGACACGGCCCAGACUCCUACGGGAGGCAGCGGUGGGGAAUUUUGGACAAGGGGCGAAAGCCUGAUCCAGCAAUGCCGCGUGUGCGAAGAAGGCCUUCGGGUUGUAAAGCACUUUUGUUUGGAAAGAAAAGGUUUGGGUUAAUACCCUGGACUGAUGACGGUACCAAUCGAAUAAGCACCGGCUAACUACGUGCCAGCCGCCGCCGUAA
RNAcentral lists this ribosomal RNA (500 nucleotides) under uncultured bacterium. Its description in RNAcentral is "partial 16S ribosomal RNA". It matches the Rfam family "Bacterial small subunit ribosomal RNA", at positions 29 to 523 of the family's 1533-position model. The record is from RNAcentral.